RNAcentral lists this ribosomal RNA (466 nucleotides) under uncultured bacterium. Its description in RNAcentral is "partial 16S ribosomal RNA". It matches the Rfam family "Bacterial small subunit ribosomal RNA", at positions 28 to 507 of the family's 1533-position model. The record is from RNAcentral.
GAUGAACGCUGGCGGCGUGCUUAACACAUGCAAGUCGAACGGAAAGGCUCCUGCUUGCAGGGGUACUCGAGUGGCGAACGGGUGAGUAACACGUGGGUGAUCUGCCCUGCACUUCGGGAUAAGCCUGGGAAACUGGGCCUACUACCGGAGAGGACGAUGGUUUGGAUGCCAUUGUGGAAAGGUUUUUCGGUGUGGGAUGAGCUCGCGGCCAAUCAGCUUGUUGGUGGGGUAAUGGCCGACCAAGGCGUCGACGGGUAGCCGGCCUGAGAGGGAGUACGGCGACCUUGCUCCUGCGGUACGGCCCAGUCUCCUACGGUGGACAGCAGUGGGGAGUCUUGCACAAUGGGCGCACGCCUGAUACGGCGACGCUGCGUGGGUGAUGACGGCCUGCGAGUUAAGAACUCCUUUCGCUAGAGACGAAGCGCAAGUGACGGUACCUGAAGAAGAAGCACCGGCUAACUACGUG